CUUCGGAAUGAAGUUCUAAUGACUGAGCGGCGGACGGGUGAGUAACGCGUGGGUGACCUGCCACAUACAGGGGAUAACAGACAGAAAUGUCUGCUAAUACCGCAUAAGCGCACAGUGCUGCAUGGCACAGUGUGAAAAACUCCGGUGGUAUGAGAUGGACCCGCGUCUGAUUAGCUAGUUGGUAAGGUAACGGCUUACCAAGGCGACGAUCAGUAGCCCGGCCUGAGAGGGUGAACGGCCACAUUGGGACUGAGACACGGCCCAAACUCCUACGGGAGGCAGCAGUGGGGAAUAUUGCACAAUGGGGGAAACCCUGAUGCAGCGACGCCGCGUGAAGGAAGAAGUAUUUCGGUAUGUAAACUUCUAUCAGCAGGGAAGUAAAAUGACGGUACCUGACUAAGAAGCCCCGGCUAACUACGUGCCAGCCGCAGC
RNAcentral lists this ribosomal RNA (432 nucleotides) under uncultured bacterium. Its description in RNAcentral is "bacterial SSU rRNA". It matches the Rfam family "Bacterial small subunit ribosomal RNA", at positions 73 to 518 of the family's 1533-position model. The record is from RNAcentral.